UGGGCAUAAACAAUCUGACAAAUGAGAUCUCUGUUGGUUACAUAAACUAUUAUUCUGUAUUUAGGUGUGUUGUACUUAUUUUUAUCCUGAAUUACCAAGCGUUUCCGGGCAUAGCAAUCAGUUUUACCCUCUCGUUUUCUUCUAAAUUUCACCUGGUAUCUCUUGAAGUAAGCCUUAUUCUUGACAACUUUAACAAACCCCAUCCUGUGGAACAGAGACCCGCCUCCGCGAGAUGGGAAGAGCACAAGUCUGAACUGC
Molecule: long non-coding RNA, 258 nt
Organism: Leopardus geoffroyi (Geoffroy's cat)
Lineage: Eukaryota; Metazoa; Chordata; Mammalia; Carnivora; Felidae
Exons: 4
Source: RefSeq, a predicted model, not a curated record